GAUUAAUGAACGGUAGACGCGCGAGAGAUGCUUAGUGUUAUUCGUUUGCAUUUGCUCAUGUUGCAGAAAAAUAUCUGAGUGACUCUUGGAUAUCCAUAAUACUUAAGAGAUGAUUUAACAGUGGAGCAACUUGAGGUUUUAUACGCAAACAGCAAACGCCGUCACAAGUCACAUAGCGAUUAAAUUCAUGUUAAGUUUGGAUUUCCAGAUUUUUAUAGUGAUUGAUCUUAUUACAGUGCUUUUUAUAGUGUUUUUAUUAGCUGACGCUGAAAAGGGUGCAAUCAGUGUAGGGAUGCUUAUUUCUUCAGUUGCUACGUUAGCAAAUUGCUUCAAAGCUCUUAGAAAUCCACAAAUGAUAAAUAAAAAAAAUAAGUCGUGUGUAUUUAUGUGCUUUUGCCGUUUGCAGGACGAAGUUUGCCUGAAAAUACUCGGACUUCCAAGAAGAUUUCUAAAACGAUCGUACGGCAGCACAAUCGCGCAACAUUCUUC
Paramacrobiotus metropolitanus is the source of this 489-nucleotide long non-coding RNA. RefSeq lists it as uncharacterized. The transcript has 3 exons. The record is from RefSeq and is a predicted model, not a curated record. NCBI's taxonomy places the organism in Eukaryota, Metazoa, Tardigrada, Eutardigrada, Parachela, Macrobiotidae.